RNAcentral lists this ribosomal RNA (572 nucleotides) under Streptomyces harbinensis. RNAcentral describes it as "bacterial SSU rRNA". It matches the Rfam family "Bacterial small subunit ribosomal RNA", at positions 425 to 1006 of the family's 1533-position model. Lineage: Bacteria; Bacillati; Actinomycetota; Actinomycetes; Kitasatosporales; Streptomycetaceae. The record is from RNAcentral.
GUAAACCUCUUUCAGCAGGGAAGAAGCGAAAGUGACGGUACCUGCAGAAGAAGCACCGGCUAACUACGUGCCAGCAGCCGCGGUAAUACGUAGGGUGCGAGCGUUGUCCGGAAUUAUUGGGCGUAAAGAGCUCGUAGGCGGUUUGUCGCGUCGAUUGUGAAAGCCCGGGGCUUAACCCUGGGUAUGCAGUCGAUACGGGCAGGCUAGAGUUCGGCAGGGGAGACUGGAAUUCCUGGUGUAGCGGUGAAAUGCGCAGAUAUCAGGAGGAACACCGGUGGCGAAGGCGGGUCUCUGGGCCGAUACUGACGCUGAGGAGCGAAAGCGUGGGGAGCGAACAGGAUUAGAUACCCUGGUAGUCCACGCCGUAAACGGUGGGCACUAGGUGUGGGCAACAUUCCACGUUGUCCGUGCCGCAGCUAACGCAUUAAGUGCCCCGCCUGGGGAGUACGGCCGCAAGGCUAAAACUCAAAGGAAUUGACGGGGGCCCGCACAAGCGGCGGAGCAUGUGGCUUAAUUCGACGCAACGCGAAGAACCUUACCAAGGCUUGACAUACAUCGGAAACGGCCAGAGA